CCUACGGGAGGCAGCAGUGAGGAAUAUUGGUCAAUGGGCGCGAGCCUGAACCAGCCAAGUAGCGUGAAGGAUGACUGCCCUACGGGUUGUAAACUUCUUUUAUCAAGGAAUAAAGUGAGGCACGUGUGCCUUUUUGUAUGUACUUUAUGAAUAAGGAUCGGCUAAAUCCGGGCCAGCAGCCGCGGUAAUACGGAGGAUCCGGGCGUUAGCCGGAUUUAUUGGGGUUAAAGGGGGCGUAGAUGGGUUGGUAAGUCAGUUGUGAAAGUUUGCGGCUCAACCGUAAAAUUGCCAUUGAUACUGGCAGCCGUGAGUACAGUUGAGGUAGGCGGAAUUCGUGGUGUAGCGGUGAAAUGCGUAGAUAUCACGAAGAACUCCGAUUGCGAAGGCAGCUUACUAAACUGCCACUGACAUUGAGGCUCGAAAGUGUGGGGAUCAAACAGGAUUAGAUACCCGAGUAGUC
This 460-nucleotide ribosomal RNA is filed under the name uncultured bacterium. Its description in RNAcentral is "partial 16S ribosomal RNA". It matches the Rfam family "Bacterial small subunit ribosomal RNA", at positions 338 to 795 of the family's 1533-position model. The record is from RNAcentral.